Molecule: long non-coding RNA, 234 nt
Filed under: Setaria viridis
Lineage: Eukaryota; Viridiplantae; Streptophyta; Magnoliopsida; Poales; Poaceae
Description: long non-coding RNA (SVIR_LNC009790)
Source: RNAcentral
CCAGAUGCGUACGACCGCAUCCGCAUCCGCAUCCGCAUCCGUCAGAACUCAGAAGGCCGGGCGCUCGGAAAGGCGCCUGCAGGCUGCAGCUGCACUGCACCCUGCGCUGCACGCGUGCGUGGAACAGUCGCUGACCCACACGCUUGCGGACGCAGCAGAGCUGGCCGGCCUGCGGGAAUGGCGAGCCAGGUCGGGGUCGGAACGGAUCGGCGCGGUGGUGGGGGUAGGUCGACG